CUCUGCAACGGAUUCCACGCGGCUCCACCACUCUCUGGUAAGCCACGACGAGGGCCGCUACCCUGCUCCACUCUCUGCAAUGGAUUCCGUGUGGCUCCACUACUCUCUGGCAAGUCGUGACAACGGCCACCACUCCACUCUCCGUAACCAACUCCACGUGGCCCUGAACGACCCUUGAUGCCACUACUUUCCGUAACAAACUCCAGACAGCUCUGAAUAGCCCACGACCAGGUGGUUGCAGACAUCACUGUCAAUCGGUUAUGCUCUCCAUCUAUAAAUAAGGACCUUG
Molecule: long non-coding RNA, 289 nt
Filed under: Elaeis guineensis (African oil palm)
Lineage: Eukaryota; Viridiplantae; Streptophyta; Magnoliopsida; Arecales; Arecaceae
Description: long non-coding RNA (EGUI_LNC078579)
Source: RNAcentral